CAUUAUUGAAUAAACUUGGUGGGUUGUCGCUGGCUUUUCGAAGCAUGUGCACGCCUGCUGACUUUAUCCAUCCACCUGUGCACCCUUUGUAGUCUUUGGAGAUAGAAAGCAGCAGAUUCUCAAUUGGGAUAGGAAACAGUGCCUUGCAGAAGCUUGGCUCUGUUCUGGGGCUGUGAUCACCUCCUCGACUAUGUCUUUUGCAUACACUAUGUAGCAUGUCACAGAAUGUAUCAAUAUCGGGCCUCUGUUGCCUACAAACACUUAUACAACUUUCAGCAACGGAUCUCUUGGCUCUCGCAUCGAUGAAGAACGCAGCGAAAUGCGAUAAGUAAUGUGAAUUGCAGAAUUCAGUGAAUCAUCGAAUCUUUGAACGCACCUUGCGCUCCUUGGUAUUCCGAGGAGCAUGCCUGUUUGAGUGUCAUUUACUUCCUCAACCACACUAGGUUUGUGGCUUGGAUAUGGGGGUUACAUUUGCGGGCUUCUUUUCUGAGGUCGGCUCCCCUAAAAUGUAUCAGCGGAACCGUUUGCGGUCAGUCACAGGUGUGAUAACCAUCUACGCCCAUGACAAAAGCUGCUCUCUGCCUGUUCAGCUCAUAACCGUCCUAAUGGACAACUUUCAAAUAUUUGACCU
This 631-nucleotide small RNA is filed under the name Lepiota sp. AR-2012. RNAcentral describes it as "eukaryotic LSU rRNA". The stretch from base 268 to 421 matches the Rfam family "5.8S ribosomal RNA". The record is from RNAcentral. Lineage: Eukaryota; Fungi; Basidiomycota; Agaricomycetes; Agaricales; Agaricaceae.